AAGAUUGGACAAUGGGGGCAACACUGAUCUAGCCAUGCCGCGUGUGUGAAGAAGGUCUUCGGAUUGUAAAUCACUUUAUUUUGGGAGGAAGGGCUGUAGGUUAAUACCCUGAAGUUGUUACGUUACCACCAGACUAAGCCUCUGCUAACUCUGUGCCAGCAGCCGCGGUAAUACAGAGGGUGCAUUCGUUAAUCGGAAUUACUGGGCGUAAAGCGCGCGUAGGUGGUUCAGUAAGAUGGGUGUGAAAUCCCCGGGCUUAACCUGGGAACUGCUUUCAUAACUGCUGAGCUAGAGUACGGUAGAGGGUAGUGGAAUUUCCUGUGUAGCGGUGAAAUGCGUGGAAAUAGGAAGGAACACCAGUGGCGAAGGCGACUACCUGGACUGAUACUGACACUGAGGUGCGAAAGCGUGGGGAGCGAACA
This 422-nucleotide ribosomal RNA is filed under the name uncultured bacterium. Its description in RNAcentral is "partial 16S ribosomal RNA". It matches the Rfam family "Bacterial small subunit ribosomal RNA", at positions 359 to 774 of the family's 1533-position model. The record is from RNAcentral.